GGCGGCUGCCGAAACAUGGGCAAUGCCGCAGCCCAUCUGUCCUGCGCCGAUAAUUCCCACCGUCUUGAUCAUGAAGCGAACACCCAUGUUCAACAGGUUGCGGCAAUGACGCUGCCGCAG
Molecule: ribosomal RNA, 120 nt
Filed under: Sinorhizobium meliloti CCBAU 01290
Lineage: Bacteria; Pseudomonadati; Pseudomonadota; Alphaproteobacteria; Hyphomicrobiales; Rhizobiaceae
Source: RNAcentral